UACGGAGGGUGCGAGCGUUACCCGGAUUUACUGGGUUUAAAGGGCGUGUAGGCGGUCUCUCAAGUCCGAUGCUAAAGACCGGAGCUCAACUUCGGGGGUGCGUUGGAUACUGUGAGGCUAGACGGUCGGAGAGGGUAGCGGAAUUUCCGGAGUAGCGGUGAAAUGCGCAGAUACCGGAAGGAACGCCAAUAGCGAAGGCAGCUUCCUGGACGAUUGGUGACGCUGAGGAGCGAAAGCGUGGGGAGCUAACCGG
This 253-nucleotide ribosomal RNA is filed under the name uncultured bacterium. RNAcentral's name for it is "partial 16S ribosomal RNA". It matches the Rfam family "Bacterial small subunit ribosomal RNA", at positions 524 to 776 of the family's 1533-position model. The record is from RNAcentral.